Molecule: transfer-messenger RNA, 357 nt
Filed under: Tissierellia bacterium
Lineage: Bacteria; Bacillati; Bacillota; Tissierellia
Rfam family: transfer-messenger RNA
About the family: Bacterial tmRNA, also known as 10Sa RNA or SsrA, is named for its dual tRNA and mRNA-like properties. Its role is to liberate the mRNA from a stalled ribosome.
Source: RNAcentral
GGGGGCGAGCUUGGUUUCGACGGGGAUGUGGAGCCAAGAGUAGCGAGUCGCUGUGCCAAUCAGCGUUAAAAGUGGCAACUAAAAAUAAACGCUAAAAACGAAACUAAUUUUGCACUAGCUGCUUAAUUGCAGCUAAGCGGUCACAGGUAGAAGGCCCACGAGCUCCUCUGACCUCAAAUUGAGUGGGGAACCGCACACGGCUAAGCUUUGCACCGUGGACGGAAUUCAUGAAGCUACCGAGGGCGAAAUCCUUUCAGCCGGAGUUCGUCUAAGGGAAUAAAAAAAGACUGAAUGCACUCGGAGAAGCUCUUGAGGAAGUGUUUCCGGACGUGGGUUCGACACCCACCGCCUCCACCA